CAGAGAUACCUCCUCUGUUCUAUCCUGGUUGAGAGAUUUCUUGCUGCUGUAAAGAAGAGAGCUGAGGAAGAAGCUCAGGGACUACACCAAACAUGGUCUACAUAGUUUAAUUCCUAGUUCAUUCCCUGUCUUUCUUUUGGACUGUUUCAACCAGGUAUCUCCCAGACAAGUUUCUAGGAGGUUAGUCCUAAGCCAGUUUGAGCUUCCUUACUUUCUCCUCUGUGCCAGCAAAGAGGCAUAAUCUAAGAGGUCUUCCAGGCAUGCAGAGUGUGAUCUUCUUUGCUCAACAUCCUGACCAAACCACUUAAUAUAUUAAUCCUUAAGCUACGUGUAUGGAGCUUGCUUCCAAAUAUUUGCAAUGAACACACUACAUAAACUGGUUUUCAUGUGCUGAGGUAUUUUUGACUAGUCUCUGAGAUGACAGGUCUCUCUGGAAAUAUCAUAACUGUUGCUAAUUGGAAAUUGUAAGUUGUUUAUUUAGAUAGUAUUAAGAACCUGGGGUUUAGAUGUCUUAUCUGCUGUAACUUCUGCCCAAGCAUGACUAGAAAAGAAAAAAAAGAAAAAGCACUCGAUGAUUCUUGCAUCCUCUCCUGAAACUGGAGGCUGCAGCCUCUGUCUACUGAUGUCAUUUUCAUAAGCAUGUGGAACAGCAGUAUCGUACUCCAUCUCUGUCUAGCCCCAGUGUAAGUAGGAAAAGGUGGGAAAUUGGGGGAAUUUGG
RNAcentral lists this long non-coding RNA (719 nucleotides) under Junco hyemalis (dark-eyed junco). RNAcentral's name for it is "lncRNA (ENSJHYG00000010246.1)". The record is from RNAcentral. Lineage: Eukaryota; Metazoa; Chordata; Aves; Passeriformes; Passerellidae.